This 77-nucleotide transfer RNA is filed under the name Bacillota bacterium. RNAcentral's name for it is "tRNA-Ala". It matches the Rfam family "tRNA". From Rfam's summary of the family: Transfer RNA (tRNA) molecules are approximately 80 nucleotides in length. Their secondary structure includes four short double-helical elements and three loops (D, anti-codon, and T loops). Further hydrogen bonds mediate the characteristic L-shaped molecular structure. tRNAs have two regions of fundamental functional importance: the anti-codon, which is responsible for specific mRNA codon recognition, and the 3' end, to which the tRNAs corresponding amino acid is attached (by aminoacyl-tRNA synthetases). tRNAs cope with the degeneracy of the genetic code in two manners: having more than one tRNA (with a specific anti-codon) for a particular amino acid; and 'wobble' base-pairing, i.e. permitting non-standard base-pairing at the 3rd anti-codon position. Lineage: Bacteria; Bacillati; Bacillota. The record is from RNAcentral. RNAcentral also lists the same sequence under 1 other name.
GGGGGUAUAGCUCAGUUGGCUAGAGCACCUGCCUUGCAAGCAGGGGGUCGUCGGUUCGAAUCCGACUAUCUCCACCA